Long non-coding RNA from Lolium perenne, 4330 nucleotides. RefSeq lists it as uncharacterized. NCBI's taxonomy places the organism in Eukaryota, Viridiplantae, Streptophyta, Magnoliopsida, Poales, Poaceae. The record is from RefSeq and is a predicted model, not a curated record.
AUCUGGGCUUCCACCACUUUGCCUGCACCUUCCUCUUCCUCCUCCAUCGAUCUCCUGCGCCGCCGACCGUCCUCCGCUCGGAACAACCGUACGCCUCCGCCUCCGCCUCUCUUCCUGGUCGCCCGUGCCCCCAUUGUUUCUAACCCUGCCACAUCAGAACCAUCUCCCCCACGGCCUGCAACGCGAUCUAUCUUGGUCCGCAUGGGGCGCCAUGCUUCCUCCGCCCGCUCCGGCUAAUCCCGCCCACGGAUGGACAGCGGGUUCGUCCGCCAGCGCCGGCAAAUCCCCCCGACGGCUGGACAGGGAGAUGACCUUACCAAUUUCACAGCCGUAGGCUGGACUCCUUAAACGCGGUCGAUCGAAAUCGGAGGUCCAUGUACUAAAUGCGAACAACGGCCCUCGUUCCGUUCGCAGACCGGACCAGAGUUAACUGUAUUUCCCGGCGACUUUAAUGAUGGAUUCAUGGUGGUAAUUUCGACCCAUUCAUUAUCAUUCUUCUAAUUAUGCCACAACCUCGACCAUCGACUCGUCAGCUCGCCCGGUGGUUGCGCUGGUGACCCAGCGACCGGCGUCCCGAUGCGUGCUUCUGUCCAAGACGGCCACCGCGCUUCCGCCCUAUAUCCAUUGCCUUCCCUGCACAGGUGCAAGGGGGAGGAGUAGCAGUCCUCUAUCGUGUAUGUAUUUCUUGCUAUAAUCUCAAGAAUUGUUGUUUACUAGACUACUAGGUGUAUGGUAUGCUAUCAUUGUAUGAACUCUAAAUCUAUAUUUUAUAUUUCAAGUGCUCUUUAUUUUAACUAUGCUCGAAUAAUAUAAUUCUAUGUGCACCCCGUAUGUGUCAUAUGUUCAAAAUUGUAAUUGUUAGUAAUGUACUAAUGUUAACACGGGCAUAGCUUGUUCUUGCAACUUCGAUUGCCUUCACCGGAUGAUGGGUUAAUAAAUGAACACAAUGCAUCAUCAGGGCGAGAAGCAUUCCAACUGCUGCUUACAACUCAUAGCAAGUAAAAACUGUCUAUACUGUUUUCAGAGGUGCAACAUUAUAUGUUGGUGGCUAUAUGCCUGUAUGGGCAUGAUGAUGGUAAUUUUUCAGAUUGGAUAAUUGUUUAAUUGCUCUUUUUGCAUGUGGUUGGUAAACUCAGCAAAUCGUUGGCCUGGUCAUCACAAUCUUUCCAGGAACAAGAGGUUUGUUAUUCUCAGAAAUCCACAUGAUAUUGAAGGAGACUAGGAAAGGCUUUGAAACAAAAUUAAUGGAAAGGUAGCUGAGCUGGAUGCCUGAGUAGGUGGACAUGGAGAAGUGAAGCAAAUGCUAUCCUUAUUCUAUAUAUGGUCUCCCGAGAUUCGCAGAUUGUUGGUGGCUUCAGUUUUCUACUCAUGAGAUGAUUCAUGCAUGGUUGUGUAAAGUUAGAAUAAAACAUCCCGUUCUUCUGUUUGUUUCUAAUACCUCCCCCCUCAUUUCUAUCUUGCAUUCAUAAGUAGCUCUCCGGAGAUUCCGGUGUAAUUUUCACGGAUUCACAUCUCGGGAUGGAAAUAAGAAGCCAGCGAAGAAGGUGAACGGACGUCAGGAAGAUUCUAGAGAGAGCGACUAGUCUUGAAUCCUUGAUGAGUGGGAAUCCAUGCAUAAAGAAAUCAGGGUGGAGUAAAAUAUCAUGCUUCUACAAAUGAUCUCAUUUGGAAGCAAGGAAAACUCUACUGAAUUUGAUGACAGCCAUGCAAGGUGGCAGAUUCAUAGACGGUUGGCGUUCAUGUGAUUGACGGUAAAAAAUAUUUAACAAACCAAGCCAUGAUAUCCCCAGCACAACUGAAUCCAAAGGUAAGAACAAAGCUUGUCAGGUAAGGAAGAAUCCAUCCUCUGGUUUUCACCUCUUACUUUUGAAGAUGGACAACGGGAGAGUUUUCCACAUCAAUCUUUAUUAUAAAUCAGUAACAUACAUAAUAUUUACAACCUUUGUCUCAUUUUCAUAUGCAUAAUGUGUCUUGUUCCGUGUGUUGUUUGAACCAAAAGAAGUAAUGUUCAUUACAACAUGUUCUCCUAGGUUUUCUGAUGCAAGUAACCUUGUAGUUACAGUUUUGUAAUGACUUGAUACUGAAGUGUAGAAUCUACGUAACUUAGAAAAUACUUCAGUUAGGAUCUUCCUAAUGGAAAUAAUAUUACAUUGGACUGUAUAUGCUAAUCUUGUUUGCUGAAAAAUGAUGAAUUUUUAAGAUAUACACGUAUUAUGUGGGUCUGAACCAAAAUAGCAUCAUGAUGCAGUGCCGUUAUUGAUUUAGGAGGCCUGCAAUUGUGUAGUCGCAGAUACUUGCAAGAUUUGUAUUGAGCCAAGGUUACUGCAAACAUUAGGCUAUUACUGACAUGAUAGUUUAGAAUGAUUUCUGGCUGAUUAUGCUAGAAACUUUAUCUCAUCUAUUUUUAGGGAGCACGAUUCAGACGUGUAAGUUUGAACCAUGCACAUAGUGCCUCUUUAAUUAAGAAAACUAUGUAGCCUCCAAUUAUUAUCAUAUCUUUUAUUUUUAUUAAUCAAAAUUUCGAGAUCUAGGUUUUAAGGUUUAGCAAUGCCCUUGGUGCCUUCAGGUUUGUUUUUUGGAGUUGUGCAUGCGCUUUCUGUUGAGAAUCCUAAUGCAUAGUUAUUCUUUUGAAGUGAAGCUACAUGUUAUUUUGUGAAUGUUUAACAUCGCUAUUGUUGUAAAGGUCUUCCUAAUCUAUUUGGUAAUCUGUUUUGAUUAAAAAAUGGUGCACAAGUUGUUCCAGAUUAAAAAAACCAAUAUGAUACAUGUUAUUUUGUUAAUGUUUAACAUCGCUAUUGUUGUAAAGGUCUUCCUAAUUGGUAAUCUGUUUCGAUUAAGAAAUGGUGCACAAGUUGUUCCAGAUUAAAAAAAACAAUAUGAUACAAUGCCAUAACCGAUUUUGGAGACUUAAGAGAUAUGUAUUGACCCAAGGUUACUGCAGAAGGUUGUGGAACGUAGCAUGCCUUUUUAAUGCUGAAAUUAAGAAGAAUGUUUCUUGAAGCCUUGCUGACAUUUAGAACAUCACCACUAUCUGUAGUAAUCAGAUCUGUUUGUGCCUUCAUAUAUUUUCGUCAUUAGUUGUGUGUUCUUUUACUGGGCAUCCCCGUAGCGCUAUCAAUCGAGAAGUCUAUUGCAUACUAUUAUUUCUUGAAAUACAAUAUAUGUGAAGGCUCAGUCAUUCUCCUGUUGUAAAUGUCUUUCUCAGGAUCUUCUUAGUAUUAGCUAUUAUCAUCAAGGAUGAGGCGUUGGUCCAAAUAUCUGAUUGAGACAGCAACUCUUCCAUUCCAGUAAACUGAAGAUAGUAUAAAGCGAAAACGAUAGCAGUGAGAUAAAAUUGAAGACUGUACUAGGGAUAGAACAUUAGAACACCUGCUGUGAGCUGAUAGGCGUUUGCAGACUCCGAUACAACCACACGUUUUGGAUGUUUUCGUAACAAGGUUACAUUGCUAGCUACACACCCAUAUAAGAGAUUUUUCAGAACCAAACAUUACGCUGUCUACCUCAGCCAUCGUAAUUUGGUAUAACUUUACACCAUGAGGAUGGUGCUGAUUGUACUCUUGUCUUUGAUGGAUGUAUUUUCUUCACUAACUCGUGACAUAUGGCUGGUUAGAGGUGGGUGUUCGUGUUUACUGGGAUAGCCAGUACACUGUACUUUUUCUACUCUACCAAUAGAUUGAUGGUGGUCACCUCUUUCUGAAAUGCAAAUCGGUGAAGAAGUUGUGGCAAGACCUAAAGCUAGAAGAUCUUCGUGACAAAUGGUGUGAAUUCACUGACCCAAAAGAUUUUGUUGAGGCUGUUUUGCAGACUGAUAUGAGUAGAAGCAUUCUUUGCCUUGCCCUCCUAUGGAACUGGUGGAUGACGAGGAUCAAAGUGUAUGCGGAAAAUAAAAUUUUCACUCAUGAGCAUGUGCUGGGACAAAUCCGCAAGAUGGCCCGAGAUUACACCGAGUUCUUCGCAAGGGAGCAAAAGGAGAAAAUGUCUGUACAACAAUCCUGGCAAGCACCUCCGCAGGAUAUACAGAAGGUCAAUAUUGAUGGUAGUUUUUCAGCUCAAGAUAGGAGUGGUGGAUGGGGUUUCAUUAUCCGAGACUCUGAUGGAGAUACUAUAUGCUCUGGAGCUGGUCGCAUUCCCCAUGCCCAGGAUGCUCUCCAAACUGAGGCUGUAGCUUGCAUCCAAGCUAUGCAGGUGGCGGAAGAACAAGGCAUGAUUGAUAUCAAUGUUGAAACUGAUGCUUUAUUGCUGGUUCAAGCAAUCCACUCGAUAGAGUCUGAUAUUGCACCAAAUGGAGUGCUUUUCCGGGAGAUAAAAGCUCUAGCAAGUUUGAACUUCA